Long non-coding RNA from Trachemys scripta elegans, 3417 nucleotides. RefSeq lists it as uncharacterized. The transcript has 8 exons. The record is from RefSeq and is a predicted model, not a curated record. Lineage: Eukaryota; Metazoa; Chordata; Testudines; Emydidae.
UGUUAAGCAAUACACACGGGAUAACAAGCCACAAAGGAGCCCACGCUUCCCUCGGAGAUACGGGUGCAACUCCCGCUGAAGUGGAUGGGGAUUGCAGCUGCGGGGAGAGAAAAGACGAGAUCCCCUUUUAAGAGUCAGAUCUUAAAUCCGUCAGCAGCCAAAUUGAGUUCGCAAGGUGGAUCCCGCGUAGUCUGGGCACAUUCCUGCUGAAAACAGCAAAUGCAGUAGGGGCCUGAUCUGCAUUCCCUGAUCUCCGUGAGGUACCGAUUACAGGGGGAGCAGACUGGAGCUGCAAACGUCUGGAAACCGAACUGAAUAUGUAACUUUUUCAGCUACCUGCCCAUCGUGGUUAAAGUACUAAUUAUUCAAACCCUAUUCACAGUCAGUUGAUGGAAGCCAACCUCCAGAGAGCUGAGUGUUCAGAAGAUAUAGCCAUUCAGGGUUCACAACAGGAUGGAAGAAAAAUCUUUAUAGGAUGAAAUAGGCAAUCAACUGAAAUCUAUCCUCUUUAAAUAAACUGAUUCCUUAGUAUUUUCCCAGUGUUGGUGUAAGUUGUUGUCUGUGAUGUCCCCCAGGGCUCUUUCCUCUGCUCUCUGAUUUGGUGUAUAAAAGCAGCUCUGAAUGAUGGAUUACUGUGUCAUUGCAGCCUGCGAAGGAUUAAUUUGUUUCAUUGAUUUCUCUUUAGGCAGAUAGCCAGAAUUCGCCGCUUCCCACCUUUCCCCGAGACUUCCAGCAGUAAUAGACAGUAAUAGCCUAAGACAAAUCAGCCCAUUCCUGUAAAAAUAGAAACACAAAAUCCUGAAAUCCCACGAAAGCCAUAAAGAAGCUCUCCACCCCCCACUUUGUGGUGCUGUGAAACCCUGAACAAGAGGAAGGAUACACCAUAUUGGAAAUGAUACUGUUUACAAAGGAGUGAACUAUGUUAGGGCAUUUCUUCCAAUAUUUUAUGCACACAAAAAAGGACCAAAUUCAAAGUCAGAUCCCUUUACACUUACUUGCAGAUGUAUAAAGGAACUUAAGCUGCAGUCACUGACUCUUUAAGGAGCCACAAGCAUUUCAGGGAUGUAAUGCAGUACAGGACAUUACCACACUCCUUUCUUCUUUGGAGGAUUCUCCCUUCAAGACUUCAGUGCCACAGAGGGAAGGAGCUGUGCAGAGACCAUCCAGUUCACUGACUACUCCAUGGAACUCAAGAACAACUGUCAUUAGAGAGGAUAAAGGGAAGCAAUCUGUAGCCUCCUCUCUCCCCCACCCCCUGCAGUUUCUCAUCUCAAUAGGCACACAGGGCUGCCUUGUCAGAACACACUGAACAACAACUGCCUAUUCACUCAUAGAAAGGUUUUCCGUAAGUGUCCCAUUAAUGUACUGGCCCUAUGCUGGAAUGUGAGAUUUGAUGGGCUCAAAUACAGAGAAAUUUUGUUGUAAGGACUCAAGCAGCUUGUGCAAAGCUUUCAAAAUGUAAGCAGGCGCUGUGAGCUGUAGUAUUGGUAUACCAUCAAGUAAAAGAACAGCAGAGGAAAAUAUAUCGAAAAAGUAAAAAGAAUUAAUAUGAAAUCUAGACUUAGUUUUAUCAUAUGAGGGUUAGCCACUGUUUUACUGACCUACAUCAAUUGAGGAUUACAGAGAUUAGUGAAAGGAAUACUUAAUAGCUGAACUGUGGAUUCCAAAGAGGAUUAUCUGAUGGGACAACUGAGGAAGUUAAAGAGAGAAAUGACCUACCCAAGUCACAAAACAAGUCAAUCCAGGAGUAGAACUCAAGAGCUUUGGCUCACAGCUCCACAUGCUUACUUUGGACCAUGCUACCUUGCUGCCAAUAUACUACAGUAAUAACAAUUUACUGCACAUCUCAAUAAAGUGCACUAUGUUCUGUGUACUUAAGCAGAACAAUGCAUUUUUUUCUCAUUAAUACUAAGUCUAUUUGUUGCUCAGCAGGACUAAUAUUUAUACAUUCUGGAUCUUGUGAUGAAGUAGUAAGCUCUGAUUUCAGUUAAAUCUGACAGGUUCUGAUAGCAAAAUGUCAUUAUAGAACUUCAAAAGCACUUGCUCCAUAGCAAGAUCUUUACAAUUAUCUACAUAAUAUCUUUCAACUCCUGUUGGCUCCUUGAUCUUCUGUGGAAAUCCCAACUCCUCUGCCAGUUUUGGUUUAUGAAAAGUUGACCCUUAAGGCAUAACUAUUUUAAAAAAGAUAUGCCAAAAUGUUACAAGAUUUUACCCAGUUUGAUAUCCUUUCUGGAAUACGCACUUAAUAAAAAUUGCAUUUUUACUAAGUAAUUGGCCAUAUGAGUCAUGUGCUAUUCAUGUAUUGUUCAUGAAUCAAACCAAGAGCCAUUUAAAAAUGACUAGCAUCAGGAAAACUUAAUAGCUUUUCAACAGAUUAUUUAAAUGACUGUAGCUAUGAUUUCUAAUAAUUUUUAUCCAAACAGCAAGGCUUUAGUAAGCUGUGGCAGGACUCUCUCCAAAAAGAGUAACUUUCUGAUUAAAACCUUUUGUUACUGGAUUUAAGAAAUUAAAGAAAAAAGGGGAACGUCUGAGUUAUGUAUGCAUCUGUCAAAUCCUGGAUCUUUAUAGUGUAACAAUUUGACCAAUCACAGGUAAAAGAACUGGUGGUUUGGGAGGGAUAUAUUUCACUUUAUGAAUCAUAGCUAAUAACGUAGUUAAGUACUUUCUGAACAGGCACUUCCUGCAGACUGACCAAUCUGUAGAUUGUGUUCCUAGUAGUUUCUGGUGCAAUAGUUUGGCAUGCAUGAUGCAUUUGGAGAGUGAUUUGCCAGCAUUCCAGCAACAUAUGCAACUUUAGCUGGGAUUUCUUAGUACAGAUUAGCACCAUUUCGAAUUCCUUGAUUGGUUGAUUGUCUAUACUAUAAAGCCAGGUGUAUUUCACAGCAUCAGCUAUAUUCACCUAUUUCUUUUCUUGUUGUUGUGGUUUGAAUCCUUGAUCUGAUUUUGCCAAUGGCUACCUGGCCUCUCAACACAGUGUUGCUUUUCAGGAAUAUUUUCUAAUAAUGACAACUGUAGUUAACAUUUAUAUUUAUACUGUACAAUUAUACUUAACUAUUUAAAAUUUCAAAAAGAUGCAAAACAUUCAUUAAUUUGACAAAUAAAAUCACUAUGGGGUAGACAAAUAGGAUCAUUAUCCCCAUGUUAUAGAUGAGGAAACUGAGGCUGAAAGAUUAAAUGUCUUGCCCAGUGUCACAUGGGAAGUCUAGUGGCAGAAAGAGGGUUAAACUGAAAGUUACCCCUUCUAGGUGCAUUUCUCGAGACCAGGGUCUCUCAUAUUUGUUUAAUAAUAUAGACCACAUCUUAGUAGAGGGAUUCACUUGUGGACUCCUCCCUUCUCACUCAGGAUCCCAUGUGAUCUUAACUGCAGAAAUUGUUUAUAAAGAAAAAUAGUAUUAGGAAAGUGCCAGCCUGAUGUGA